Molecule: ribosomal RNA, 427 nt
Filed under: uncultured archaeon
Lineage: Archaea
Description: bacterial SSU rRNA
Rfam family: Archaeal small subunit ribosomal RNA
Source: RNAcentral
UAAUACCGGAUAGAUCAAAGAAACUGGAAUGUUCUAUGAUUUAAAAUUGCGGUGCCCAAGGAUGGGUCUGCGGCCUAUCAGGUAGUAGUGGGUGUAACGUACCUACUAGCCUACGACGGGUACGGGUUGUGAGAGCAAGAGCCCGGAGAUGGAUUCUGAGACAUGAAUCCAGGCCCUACGGGGUGCAGCAGGCGCGAAAACUUUACACUGCGGGAAACCGCGAUAAGGGGACCCCGAGUGCCAGCACCUAGUGCUGGCUGUCCAGCUGUCUAAAAAACAGCGGUUAGCAAGGGCCGGGCAAGACCGGUGCCAGCCGCCGCGGUAACACCGGCGGCCCGAGUGGUAGCCGUUUUUAUUGGGUUUAAAGGGUCCGUAGCCGGCUUAUUAAGUUUCUUGGGAAAUCUGGCGGCUCAAUCGUCAGGCGUUC